CAACUCGGUUUAAGUGCCGAAAGAGAGGCAGCUGAGAAUGGUGUGUAUGGGUCCUCUUAUUGGUCACUAAGUUAAACAAACGGACAUUAUCUAAACUCUCAGAUUGUUUGUUGGAAUCAUGCAUGAUUCAUGUAUAUUGGUGGUAUACUUGCCUCUCAAAUAUGAUUUUUCUUGAUUGACCAAUCCGGAAAGGGCAGGUUCAGCGACUCUAGUUGUAGUUGAG
This 223-nucleotide long non-coding RNA is filed under the name Malus domestica (apple). RNAcentral's name for it is "long non-coding RNA (MDOM_LNC012815)". The record is from RNAcentral. Lineage: Eukaryota; Viridiplantae; Streptophyta; Magnoliopsida; Rosales; Rosaceae.